Molecule: ribosomal RNA, 119 nt
Filed under: Triticum aestivum (bread wheat)
Lineage: Eukaryota; Viridiplantae; Streptophyta; Magnoliopsida; Poales; Poaceae
Also listed under: 1 other name
Source: RNAcentral
GGAUGCGAUCAUACCAGCACUAAAGCACCGGAUCCUAUCAGAACUCCGAAGUUAAGCGUGCUUGGGCGAGAGUAGUACUAGGAUGGGUGACCUCCUGGGAAGUCCUCGUGUUGCAUUCC